AGAUUUUUUGAACUCAGUCUUACGAAUCGUAUAGGACUUCUCCUUUUCUACUAAGGUCAAUAAAUUCCCUCUAGGUGCAUCCUACUCCAAACAGCGAACCUAAACUUACAUAACCAACAUACACAGCAAGGACCCAUAUGGCUAGAGACCAAGAGAAUGUACAGUCAAACUAAAUAGCCUCACUGUGAAUAGCCAACACACC
RNAcentral lists this long non-coding RNA (202 nucleotides) under Elaeis guineensis (African oil palm). Its description in RNAcentral is "long non-coding RNA (EGUI_LNC063063)". The record is from RNAcentral. Lineage: Eukaryota; Viridiplantae; Streptophyta; Magnoliopsida; Arecales; Arecaceae.